This 443-nucleotide long non-coding RNA is filed under the name Rattus norvegicus (Norway rat). RNAcentral's name for it is "long non-coding RNA NONRATT008825". The record is from RNAcentral. Lineage: Eukaryota; Metazoa; Chordata; Mammalia; Rodentia; Muridae.
UGCCAAGUCCAGAACUGAGGUGGAUGAUUCCUUAUCAGCUUCCCAGUACUGACAGAACCCUUUUGGUCAGAAAUAAAAUGUCCUCGCACCAUGCGGAAAGAUCAAAAAGGAGAAUGGGACAGCCCAGACAGAGCAAGACCAGACCAUAGCGGGGAGUUCAUACAGCCCAUUUAGAUCAAGGAGUGACCAAAAGACACAGAGGAAGAGAGACAGAAGGAUCCAUCUUCAGAGAAGCCUUUGCAGGUGCAUGCAUCGGAGAGAGACAUGAGAAGUAUGAGGACAUCUGUCUCUCACAUCCACCACCACUGGAUCCAGAUGUUUCCUCAAGGAGAGGGAUUGGCUUAUGUGUACAGGACCUUGGGGUACUAGGCUUCACCCCUACACAAUAAUCGGGUCUACAGGUCAUUAGCCAGAAUAAAGGAUACACCCUAUAUAGUAUCUUA